UUCGCCCUUUUCCGGUUGAUCCCGCCGGACCUGACUGCUAUCGGAUUGAUACUAAGCCAUGCGAGUCAUUGUAGCAAUACAAGGCAGACGGCUCAGUAACGCGUAGUCAACCUAACCUAUGGACGGGAAUAACCUCGGGAAACUGAGAAUAAUGCCCGAUAGAACACUAUACCUGGAAUGGUUUGUGUUCCAAAUGAUUUAUCGCCGUAGGAUGGGACUGCGGCCUAUCAGUUUGUUGGUGAGGUAAUGGCCCACCAAGACUAUUACAGGUACGGGCUCUGAGAGGAGUAGCCCGGAGAUGGGUACUGAGACACGGACCCAGGCCCUAUGGGGCGCAGCAGGCGAGAAAACUUUGCAAUGUGCGAAAGCACGACAAGGUUAAUCCGAGUGAUUUGUGCUAAACGAAUCUUUUGUUAGUCCUAGAACCACUAACGAAUAAGGGGUGGGCAAGUUCUGGUGUCAGCCGCCGCGGUAAAACCAGCACCUCAAGUGGUCAGGAUGAUUAUUGGGCCUAAAGCAUCCGUAGCCGGCUCUGUAAGUUUUCGGUUAAAUCUGUACGCUUAACGUACAGGCUGCCGGGAAUACUGCAGAGCUAGGGAGUGGGAGAGGUAGACGGUACUCGGUAGGAAGGGGUAAAAUCCUUUGAUCUAUUGAUGACCACCUGUGGCGAAGGCGGGCUACCAGAACACGUCCGACGGU
This 699-nucleotide ribosomal RNA is filed under the name uncultured archaeon. RNAcentral's name for it is "bacterial SSU rRNA". It matches the Rfam family "Archaeal small subunit ribosomal RNA", at positions 1 to 698 of the family's 1478-position model. The record is from RNAcentral.